Molecule: long non-coding RNA, 1131 nt
Organism: Rhododendron vialii
Lineage: Eukaryota; Viridiplantae; Streptophyta; Magnoliopsida; Ericales; Ericaceae
Exons: 2
Source: RefSeq, a predicted model, not a curated record
ACGGCCUAGAAAUUUUAUUUAUCUUAUUAAUUAUUUUGGCCAUUUAUUAACUGGGAGUUUUAUGGUGUGAGUCCUAAUUAACAAUUUUCUUUUUUGCGCAAUAUAGUUACCAUGUGCGUUAUUAUUAGUUCGAGGGUACAAGUAUAAUUAUUUAUUUCAUUAGUUAGUCUAUAUUAGUUGGAUUUAUACGUAAUUAACUAAUUAGCUACAAUUUAGGGAUAUUGUGAGUUAGUGGGUAGUUUUACAAGUUACGCUUAAAGUAGAAAACCACAACAGACUAGGGUUAUAUCUCUUGAGAGAAUACAGAAGCGAGAACUUCUGAUUUUUCGAGAGAGGAAGCCGCAGACUUUUGGUGAUCGGCUGAUUGGCGAUUGGGUAAGCGACUGUUGAAACUUUAUUUUUGUUCUCUUUUUCUAUUCUCUGUUGUACAUGGUGAAGUUGAGUUUUGGAAUGUAUGGUUCGGUGGGUUAAUGAGAGGUACUGGAUUCCAUUCUUUUGGCAUUAUUAGUCUCUUUUAAUACUAUGAAUAUGGAAAUAUGGAUCAGUAGUGGAGAUGCGAUGUGUUAUGUGGGUGUGGAACCAAAUGUCAAGAAUGGUGCAUGGCGGUGCGUGGCAUGGGAAAUAUUGGCGGUCGUGUGGGUUAUGCACGUGGAUUGGAGGCAAGAGUUGGGUUUGUAGUCUUGGUGUUACUGUUGGGUAGUAAUUAGCAUUAGGCAAGUUUUAUUUUAUUAUGUUACUCGUACGUAGGCAGUAUCCCGUAUUUAUGUAGUGUAUAUUUGCAUAGCUAGUCAUUUCGUGCUUUGCUCUUUUAUUCAGGUUAGCUUUCUUUUUGGGUGUUCGAUUGCAUUACUUUUGGACACUUUUGGACCCAGGCAAGUUGGGGAGUUAGGCAAGGACUCUGGCGGCACCUCGGGGAUUCUUUUGUUUGACCUCCUUAGGGUGUCUCAUCUUAGUUUUAUUUUAAUAAAUUGCUUCCGCAUUCGAACAAUUGUCAAAUAAUGAAUUCUUUUUAUUAUUGUUGAAUUACUGGUUAUUGUUUAGUUCAUGGGAUGGUUGUACCCCAUGUUUAUGAUUGAGACACAUUUGGCUUUUGAUUUGAUUAAUAACGAAAAAGGGAUCAUUUGAUUUUCA